AUAAGUAUGUCAAAGGCACGCAGCUUUUUCAUGACAAAAGUCAAUGAGGAGGCUGUGUUACCUUGAAAUGUCGACGAACAGAUUGAUCGUGUACCUAAUAAACGAACCAUGCGUAUGAGUCUGUAGAUAAGGUUUCUUAUCAACUAAUAAGGAAUUCUCUCACAGACCUACGGUGCAAAUCCUAUCCCCGAUUGGCAAAUUUCAAAAAGUAAUCGGCUUGAGGUGUGGAGGGCUGGAGGAGGGGUCAACAUCAAAAUGGAGUUGUCGUCCUCAAAAUUUCUCGACCCGCAGAGUCCCACAAGACAAUUUACAAUACCUAAUGAUAAAAAAUCAUAAGAUUUUGUUAAAUCGUCUUUGGUCAAAUCUUACGAACCUAAUACUUAAGUACCUGGUUAUCACGAAGUUUUGCAACCCGCAAGACGUAGGUACUAUAUAUUUAAACUGAGAAAAAAUAUGCCUGUUUAUGACAAAAUUGUCAUGAAUGAACUACGUGGGGUGGGUUUCUUUGGAAGCAGGGAGGCGACGAAUGUAGAUGAAGAAAAGAAAACUGAAUGCAUUCAUUUUCUCCGUAAUGCACUUAUGGAAGAAUUAUUAUUUUUUUAAGUUCUUAAAGAGGAAAAUCGGUCUAAUUUCAAAUUUGCCGCUCAGAGAGCAGCACCGACCAAACAACCAAUAAUCUUGAUCUUGAAUCUGAUUGGCUCCUUUCCCCUUCCCCUCCUUCGACUUUGUUUUGUUUACUAAUUUCUUCCAAAAGUGAGGUUAUACAUGUAAGCAUGCUUAUCAUGCCACUAAGCAGUCAUAAUUUGGUAGGAACUAUCCCUGAUCUUGUUUUGUAGUUCGAAAUCUUUUAACUUCAUAAUUUAAGAACAGAUGUUUACAUUUUAGUUUAUUGAAAUUCGUUGCUGAGAUGAACUUACCUGAAAAUUUUCGCUCAGUCGUGGGCAUAGUUCUCAACAACUGGACUGCGUUAAAGCUGUCAAUAUCGCAUGGGUAUGGUGGCACUCCUAUGGAAACGAACGCCAAAGUUCAGGAUUUAAUUAACAUGAUCGAUGAAGGAUUUACCACAAACAGUUUUGAAGAUUGGGGUGACUUGUGUGACCUCUUGAGCGAUUAUAUGGACCAAGUCUUCCAUACCCUAAUUGAAGAUAAUUCAGAUGAAGAAUUGGGAACGAAGCUUCAAGAGUUAUAUCACCAGUGGUCAAACGCAAAACAUAAUGAUUUACUCGAUUAUUUAUCCUCAUUACCGAUUCAAGAAUCAAUUGAAAGAGCUCCACCUCAGAUCAAUGCUCAGCCAAAUUACAAUAAUGAUGAUGAUAGUGAUGAUGACGAUGAUGAUGGAGGAGGUGAUAGCAGCAGCAAAGGGGCUGGAAAUAGUCGUACUCUCUAUCAAGGAAACAAUAGUCACUCUUCAGGAAAUGGGGGUGGCUCCAGUGUGGAUGCAGAUGGUUGGCAAGUGUGCCACAACCGACGGCAUCGAUAA
RNAcentral lists this long non-coding RNA (1480 nucleotides) under Bemisia tabaci. RNAcentral describes it as "lncRNA ENSSSA1UGG005462". The record is from RNAcentral. Lineage: Eukaryota; Metazoa; Arthropoda; Insecta; Hemiptera; Aleyrodidae.